GAUGAAGAACGUAGCGAAAUGCGAUAAGUAAUGUGAAUUGCAGAAUUCAGUGAAUCAUCGAAUCUUUGAACGCACCUUGCACCCUUUGGCAUUCCGAAGGGUAUGCUCGUUUGAGUGUCAUUGUACUCUCACACUCUCCGAUCCUAUGGAUUCGGGGAGCGGUGGACUUUGGUGUUGCUGCCUUUCCUUGUGGCUCACCUCAAAUGUGUCAGUGCACCUCUUGGUUGGACAUAGUACGGCGUGAUAAGUGUCUUCGCCGGCACCUCGCAAGAGGGUGGCCGAUCGGGAGCUCUGUGCUUUCAAACCGUCUUCGGACAAUUUCUGACAACUUGACCUCAAAUCGAGUAGGACUACCCGCUGAACUUAAGCAUAUCAAUAAGCGGAGGA
RNAcentral lists this unclassified non-coding RNA (387 nucleotides) under soil metagenome. Its description in RNAcentral is "partial contains 5.8S ribosomal RNA, internal transcribed spacer 2, and large subunit ribosomal RNA". The stretch from base 1 to 120 matches the Rfam family "5.8S ribosomal RNA", at positions 35 to 154 of the family's 154-position model. The record is from RNAcentral.